RNAcentral lists this ribosomal RNA (416 nucleotides) under uncultured bacterium. Its description in RNAcentral is "bacterial SSU rRNA". It matches the Rfam family "Bacterial small subunit ribosomal RNA", at positions 355 to 763 of the family's 1533-position model. The record is from RNAcentral.
UGGGGAAUUUUGGACAAUGGGGGCAACCCUGAUCCAGCCAUCCCGCGUGUGCGAUGAAGGCCUUCGGGUUGUAAAGCACUUUUGGCAGGGAAGAAACAGCCUGGGCUAAUAUCCCGGGCGACUGACGGUACCUGCAGAAUAAGCACCGGCUAACUACGUGCCAGCAGCCGCGGUAAUACGUAGGGUGCAAGCGUUAAUCGGAAUUACUGGGCGUAAAGCGUGCGCAGGCGGUUCGGAAAGAAAGGUGUGAAAUCCCAGGGCUUAACCUUGGAACUGCACUUUUAACUACCGGGCUAGAGUACGUCAGAGGGGGGUAGAAUUCCACGUGUAGCAGUGAAAUGCGUAGAGAUGUGGAGGAAUACCGAUGGCGAAGGCAGCCCCCUGGGAUGAUACUGACGCUCAUGCACGAAAGCGUG